GAGACUCUGUGCGCGUGCAUAUCAAUAAGCGGAGGAAAAGAAACUAACAAGGAUUCCCCUAGUAACGGCGAGUGAAGCGGGAAGAGCUCAAAUUUGAAAUCUUCAAGGUUUGACCUUGACGAAUUGUAGUUUAAAGAAGUGUUUUCGGUUAGAGGAGUAGUAAAAGUUCUUUGGAAUAGGACAUCAUAGAGGGUGAGAAUCCCGUAUUUGACUAUUCUUUCUAGCUUUGUGAUACACUUUCAAAGAGUCGGAUUGUUUGGGAAUGCAGUCCAAAAUGGGUGGUAAAUUUCAUCUAAAGCUAAAUAUUGGCGAGAGACCGAUAGCGAACAAGUACCGUGAGGGAAAGAUGAAAAGAACUUUGAAAAGAGAGUUAAACAGUACGUGAAAUUGUCAAAAGGGAAGCGUUUGACACCAGUGUUGUUUUCUCGAAAAUCAAUUAAAAAUGGUGGGAUUUUGUGUUGUAUUGACUUUAUCAGCUUUCUGCACUUUUUUCCUAUCUUUUUUAAUGCACUUUUCGCUUAACAAGUCAACAUCAAUUUCUUUUGCUGUAAAAGAGUCAUUGGAAGGUGGCUUUUCUUUCGGAGAAAGUGUUUAUAGCCUUUGACUUCUGCAAUCGGAGAGAUUGAGGUCUGCAGCGUAGAUCCUUCGGGGUUAGAUACAUUUGUGCUAAGCUAUAGCCUUUCAUAGACAACUUGUUGACUAUGAUCAGUCAUGUAGCUUACUCGCUUAUGCUAUUUUACCUACGCUUAGGAUGUUGAUCUGUAGUGCGUGCGC
RNAcentral lists this ribosomal RNA (774 nucleotides) under uncultured Neocallimastigales. RNAcentral's name for it is "partial large subunit ribosomal RNA". It matches the Rfam family "Eukaryotic large subunit ribosomal RNA", at positions 23 to 632 of the family's 3401-position model. Lineage: Eukaryota; Fungi; Neocallimastigomycota; Neocallimastigomycetes; Neocallimastigales. The record is from RNAcentral.